UCUUCCGUUGCACAAACUCUCUGCCCCUGUCUAGCAGCUCAGGAGAUGUCCCCCAGUUUAUUGUUACAUUUAUCGGCAAAUUUAUCAUGGUCUAUUGCCCAUGAGGGCACAGGGGUGACAAGGCAAAUGAAAUCAUUUGACUAAGAUAAUGCCAUGGAUGUGUGGGAUAGGACUGAGGAUUUCCCAUGGGAAGCAGGUGGAGGCGUGAGAACAGAUCAUGGAAUUUGAAGAUGAAGGACAAAAGCCUGCUCCUAGCCCAGCAUGCCCACAGCCCAGGGCAGAUGAGUCAAAACCAUUCCCUCCCAGGCCUCUCUCAGUCCUAUGGCACCACACCUGCAUUUGGACAAUGAACUUUAAGACCACCAACAUCAUCUGUUUUGCCUCUCCCUUUUGAUUGGGCCACUCGCAAGAAAGACAUAAUGUAAAAUGUUUCCAUCCA
Long non-coding RNA from Callorhinus ursinus (northern fur seal), 439 nucleotides. RefSeq lists it as uncharacterized. NCBI's taxonomy places the organism in Eukaryota, Metazoa, Chordata, Mammalia, Carnivora, Otariidae. The record is from RefSeq and is a predicted model, not a curated record.